RNAcentral lists this ribosomal RNA (1242 nucleotides) under Triticum aestivum (bread wheat). RNAcentral describes it as "partial small subunit ribosomal RNA". Lineage: Eukaryota; Viridiplantae; Streptophyta; Magnoliopsida; Poales; Poaceae. The record is from RNAcentral.
AUGGUGUUCGCCGACGAGUACAAGGACGUGGAGGCCGUGGAGGCACACGACAACACCAAGUUGCACGUCAUCCACACCAACGACAAGAAGCAGGUGGCGAUCACCCUGGCACAGUACGAGCGCCACCUCAGUCUCCGGCGCCACAAGAACGUCGGCAUUGAUGUCGAGUGCACCGUCUUCGACAACUUCCUCGCCGACCCUAGGUACACCUUUGUAGGCUUCUCCAUCGACAGCGACAAAAAAAGGCUGGAUUGCGUCAAUCUGGAGGUCGCCAACUUCGUCGACAUCCAGAAGGAGUGGAGGGUGCCCGAGGCAACCAAGGAGUUGGACACCCUUGGAGACGUCUCCGGCAUGCUCAUCGACGACUACUACAACAACAUGAAGAAGAAGAUCACCGACGACGAGCACAAGCGCUGGGCCACCCUGCCUCUGUCUAGGAGGCACAUCGAGUACGCUACAAAGGAUGCCUACGCAGCGUACGAGAUAUGGAACCGCAUCACCCUCACCCAGGACGGGCUUCGCCGUGCAAAGCUGGAGAAGGAGGAGCCACCCAAGAAGCGCGCCAGGACCAGCUGGGGAUGGGGAGACACUGACUGAACAAACACGAGAGAGCAGAGGAUAGUCAUGGCGGAUGCACCUCUUUACAAGCAGCGCCGCAGGUACACUAGGGAGCUCCACGACAUCGAUAUCCAUGGCAACCACAAGAUCCACGUCGUUUGCACAAGCAAGGGUGAAGACGUGGACAAGAUGCUAUCCACGCUCAGGAGGAAGCUCGGCGGAAUGUCCGUCAAACUAGUCGGUGUUGAUGUCGAGCCAAUGGAACUAGACAAAUUCCUCAUGAAUGGUGAGUACACCUUCGUCGGAUUCGCCAUUGAAAGAGACAAAGGUAAGCUAAAGCUAUCUGGUUUGGAGAUAAACUCCGACAACUACAUUGACAUUCAGGUGGAAUGGAGAGACCCAUACAAUAAAAAGAAGUUUGACUCUUUGGCUGAUGUUGCCGGCAGGAUGAUAGACAUUCACUACCAUGACAUGAAGAAAAAAAUUAACCGCAAGGAGGACCAUACUCUGUGGGGAUUCUGCCCACUACCAGAAAAGCUUAUCAAGUAUGCAGCAAUAGAUGCAUUCGCAACAGAUGAGUCAUGGAGAUUCAUCUAUGAUGUCAUCAUGGGACUGGACAGGGCAAAAAGAGACAAAGAAGAAAAGCAGAAGAAGAACAAGGCUGUAAUCCAAUGCAGCAACUAG